Molecule: ribosomal RNA, 444 nt
Filed under: uncultured bacterium
Lineage: Bacteria
Description: bacterial SSU rRNA
Rfam family: Bacterial small subunit ribosomal RNA
Source: RNAcentral
CCUACGGGGGGCAGCAGUGGGGAAUUUUCCGCAAUGGGCGAAAGCCUGACGGAGCAAUACCGCGUGAGGGAUGAAGGCCUAUGGGUUGUAAACCUCUUUUUUCAGGGAGGAAUAAAAUGACGUGUACCUGAAGAAUAAGCAUCGGCUAACUCCGUGCCAGCAGCCGCGGUAAGACGGAGGAUGCAAGUGUUAUCCGGAAUCACUGGGCGUAAAGCGUCUGUAGGUGGUCAAAUAAGUCAACUGUUAAAUCUUGAAGCUCAACUUCAAAAUCGCAGUCGAAACUAUUAGACUAGAGUAUAGUAGGGGUAAAGGGAAUUUCCAGUGGAGCGGUGAAAUGCGUAGAUAUUGGAAAGAACACCGAUGGCGAAGGCACUUUACUGGGCUAUUACUAACACUCAGAGACGAAAGCUAGGGUAGCAAAUGGGAUUAGAUACCCCGGUAGUC